RNAcentral lists this transfer RNA (70 nucleotides) under Labeo coubie. RNAcentral's name for it is "tRNA-Pro". It matches the Rfam family "tRNA". From Rfam's summary of the family: Transfer RNA (tRNA) molecules are approximately 80 nucleotides in length. Their secondary structure includes four short double-helical elements and three loops (D, anti-codon, and T loops). The record is from RNAcentral. Lineage: Eukaryota; Metazoa; Chordata; Actinopteri; Cypriniformes; Cyprinidae.
CAGGAAAUAGUUUAGUUUAGAAUUCUGGCUUUGGGAGCCAGAGGUGAGAGUUAAAAUCUCUCUUUUCUGG